CCUACGGGCGGCAGCAGUGAGGAAUAUUGGUCAAUGGGCGUAAGCCUGAACCAGCCAAGUCGCGUGAGGGAUGAAGGUUCUAUGGAUCGUAAACCUCUUUUAUAAGGGAGCAAGGUGCAGGUCGGGACCUGCUGUGAGAGUACCUGAAGAAAAAGCAUCGGCUAACUCCGUGCCAGCAGCCGCGGUAAUACGGAGGAUGCGAGCGUUAUCCGGAUUUAUUGGGUUUAAAGGGUGCGCAGGCGGAGGCACAAGUCAGCGGUAAAAUCGCGGGGCUCAACCCCGCUCCGCCGUUGAAACUGUGUCCCUUGAGUGCGCGAAGGGUAGGCGGAAUGCGUGGUGUAGCGGUGAAAUGCAUAGAUAUCACGCAGAACUCCGAUCGCGAAGGCAGCCUACCGGCGCGCAACUGACGCUCAUGCACGAAAGCGUGGGUAUCGAACAGGAUUAGAUACCCUGGUAGUC
Molecule: ribosomal RNA, 459 nt
Filed under: uncultured bacterium
Lineage: Bacteria
Description: partial 16S ribosomal RNA
Rfam family: Bacterial small subunit ribosomal RNA
Source: RNAcentral